GAGGAAAGGACAUCAACCGAGACUUCGCUAGUAGCGGCGAGCGAACGCGAACCAGGCCAGUGGCUUAUGCAUAAGAACCGGAACGAUCUGGAAAGGUCGGCCAUAGUGGGUGAUAGCCCCGUACGGGUAGAAAUUGCAUAAGUCCUCGAGUAGGGCGGGACACGUGAAAUCCUGUCUGAACAUGGGGGGACCACCCUCCAAGCCUAAGUACUCCUUGACGACCGAUAGUGUACCAGUACCGUGAGGGAAAGGUGA
This 255-nucleotide ribosomal RNA is filed under the name Azadinium spinosum. RNAcentral describes it as "partial Bacterial large subunit ribosomal RNA". It matches the Rfam family "Bacterial large subunit ribosomal RNA", at positions 213 to 517 of the family's 2925-position model. Lineage: Eukaryota; Dinophyceae; Gonyaulacales; Amphidomataceae. The record is from RNAcentral.